Molecule: long non-coding RNA, 184 nt
Organism: Bufo bufo (common toad)
Lineage: Eukaryota; Metazoa; Chordata; Amphibia; Anura; Bufonidae
Exons: 3
Source: RefSeq, a predicted model, not a curated record
CAUGGUCUUGACUCACAUUUGGAUAAAAAAGUAUUUAGUAAUAAAUUGUAACACAUAUGAAAUCCUAACAUGUCCUCUUUAAAUCUUCAUGCCUAUUGUUUUCAGGUAUUGAAAAAUGUAGUCUACCAUACGGAUUAGAAACACAAAAAAGGUAAAGUAGAAAUCUAGAAUAGACUCAUGAACU